ACGGGAGGCAGCAGUGGGGAAUAUUGGGCAAUGGGCGCAAGCCUGACCCAGCAACGCCGCGUGAAGGAUGAAGGUCUUCGGAUUGUAAACUUCUGUUUUUAGUGAAGAAACAAAUGACGGUAGCUAAAGAGGAAGCCACGGCUAACUACGUGCCAGCAGCCGCGGUAAUACGUAGGUGGCAAGCGUUGUCCGGAUUUACUGGGUGUAAAGGGUGCGCAGGCGGGACUGCAAGUUGGAUGUGAAAUACCGGAGCUUAACUCCGGGGCUGCAUCCAAAACUGUAGUUCUUGAGUGGAGUAGAGGUAAGCGGAAUUCCGAGUGUAGCGGUGAAAUGCGUAGAUAUUCGGAGGAACACCAGUGGCGAAGGCGGCUUACUGGGCUCUAACUGACGCUGAGGCACGAAAGCAUGGGUAGCAAACAGGAUUAGAUACCCUGGUA
Molecule: ribosomal RNA, 437 nt
Filed under: uncultured Clostridium sp.
Lineage: Bacteria; Bacillati; Bacillota; Clostridia; Eubacteriales; Clostridiaceae
Description: partial 16S ribosomal RNA
Rfam family: Bacterial small subunit ribosomal RNA
Source: RNAcentral